GAGGGUAUUAAAAUCUUAUUUAUUCCAUAUUUACAACAUGUCCUGUUUUACUGAAGGUCCUGGAGGACAAGGAUUUAAGAAUAAGGCAAGUACCAAUGCCUCUCCAAUAUGUAUUCAGGUCUGACAAGCCCCAUACAAGUUCUGUUUCUAUAACAGCUAUUUCAAAAAAGGAAAUGAUCUGAUAUUGGUCCACAACAAACGAUUCAUAAUAUAUUUUCCUUACACUGACAAUGUGUAAUGUCAAUUGAUUGCAAAGUUGCUUUUUUCAUAAGAGCUGAAACUGAAUUGAUACGCUGAAGUAUCAAGUUAUGUGAUAUUAGAAAGGGUGAUAUUUCUGCCGGAGCAAGCAGCUGAGCUAGAGAUGGAAGCCUUGUUCUGCCCUGGCUGAGAGGUACACCCUGAACAACGCUAGUGAUGGAAGCCUUGUUCUGCCCUGGCUGAGAGGAACACCCUGAACAACGCUAGUGAUGGAAGCCUUGUUCUGCCCUGGCUGAGAGGUUCACCCCGAACAACGCUAGUGAUGGAAGCCUUGUUCUGCCCUGGCUGAGAGGUUCACCCCGAACAACGCUAGUGAUGGAAGCCUUGUUCUGCCCUGGCUGAGAGGUUCACCCCGAACAACGCUAGUGAUGGAAGCCUUGUUCUGCC
RNAcentral lists this long non-coding RNA (645 nucleotides) under Salmo salar (Atlantic salmon). RNAcentral's name for it is "lncRNA (ENSSSAG00000113165.1)". Lineage: Eukaryota; Metazoa; Chordata; Actinopteri; Salmoniformes; Salmonidae. The record is from RNAcentral.